This 440-nucleotide ribosomal RNA is filed under the name uncultured bacterium. Its description in RNAcentral is "partial 16S ribosomal RNA". It matches the Rfam family "Bacterial small subunit ribosomal RNA", at positions 338 to 795 of the family's 1533-position model. The record is from RNAcentral.
CCUACGGGUGGCAGCAGUGGGGGAUAUUGCACAAUGGGGGAAACCCUGAUGCAGCGACGCCGCGUGUGGGAAGACGGUCUUCUGGAUUGUAAACCACUGUCCCCAGGGACGAAAAUGACGGUACCUGGGGAGGAAGCUCCGGCUAACUACGUGCCAGCAGCCGCGGUAAUACGUAGGGAGCAAGUGUUGUCCGGAAUUACUGGGUGUAAAGGGAGCGUAGGCGGGGAUGCAAGUUGGGUGUAAAAACUACCGGCUCAACCGAUAGUCGCACUCAAAACUGCAGCUCUUGAGUGAAGUAGAGGCAGGCGGAAUUCCUAGUGUAGCGGUGAAAUGCGGAGAUAUUAGGAGGAACACCAGUGGCGAAGGCGGCCUGCUGGGCUUUUACUGACGCUGAGGCUCGAAAGUGUGGGGAGCAAACAGGAUUAGAUACCCGUGUAGUC